GAUCGCAUGGUCCGGUGAGGAAAUGGUCUGCCGCUCCGGGAUGGGCUCGCGGCCUAUCAGCUUGUUGGUGAGGUAACGGCUCACCAAGGCAACGACGGGUAGCUGGUCUGAGAGGACGAUCAGCCACACUGGGACUGAGACACGGCCCAGACUCCUACGGGAGGCAGCAGUGGGGAAUCUUGCGCAAUGGGGGAAACCCUGACGCAGCGACGCCGCGUGCGGGAUGAAGGCCCUAGGGUUGUAAACCGCUUUCAGCAGGGACGAAAUUGACGGUACCUGCAGAAGAAGGCCCGGCCAACUACGUG
Molecule: ribosomal RNA, 305 nt
Filed under: uncultured bacterium
Lineage: Bacteria
Description: bacterial SSU rRNA
Rfam family: Bacterial small subunit ribosomal RNA
Source: RNAcentral